This is a long non-coding RNA of Helianthus annuus (common sunflower), 1076 nucleotides long. RefSeq lists it as uncharacterized. The transcript has 3 exons. The record is from RefSeq and is a predicted model, not a curated record. Lineage: Eukaryota; Viridiplantae; Streptophyta; Magnoliopsida; Asterales; Asteraceae.
UACACCACCACACAACCACACAACCACCCUAUCCCCCCCCCACACCCACACACACACUCUGCACACACACACACUCCCCGACUCUCUUUCUCCCUCUCUAAUUUGUAACUAAAACUCCCUUGGAAACCCCUAAGACCCCCCCCCCUCCCCUGCCUAAUGAUUGUGUUUUUACAUUAAUAAGUUAUUUUUUUUUAUCAAAAUUUGAAUUCAUCUCAUCUUCCUCCCCCUCCUCUUGGCCGGAACCCUCAGUAUCACUUCCAUACUCUUCGUUUUUCCAUAAUCAAGUCUCUUACACUUGGAUUUGGUGGCCCUGAUUGCAUCUUGGAGGAUCUAAUGAGCAUUGGAUUGAAGAAUCUCACAAGAACACCCAUUCAAUCUUCAUAUUUUUAGCCCUAGUCUUUUACUAGUCAGGAGUAUGUGAAAAAUGUUCCAAAAGGUUGUUAGGCUCAAAUAGUUGUUGAUUCCAAAACAUAUUUGUUCCCACGAUACAACCAGCUUUCUUCUAUGGUUAGAGUUGGAUGGUGCAAGAGCUAAAGCUGAAAAAGGAUGACAUUUUGCGCCUACAAAAGAAACUUGCUCAAGUGGUAAAUCUUCGGUCUAAUACUAUCCUAACCAUCAAAGAUCCUGAAGGUGUUGAGUUUCGGAUGGGUCUUAAAAAAGAGAUGUCACAUGGUAGACCAAAGUAUGCGGUAGAAGAUUGGCCUUUUAUAUCAAAUGGAAUCGAAGAUGGUGAUAUAUGUACAUUUACUUACUCCAAAAGUGAAGGUAUUUUAUUUCUUAAUGAAGCUGUCAAAAACAUUAACCCUGUUGGUUGAAGGUGGUAGACACGACUUGAAGGUGGUUGGUUUGUUUCUUCUUUUUGUGGUUCAUAUUCUCAAAAACAUUUUCAUGGUGAUUUUAGAACAAUGGAGUAUGGUGUGUUAAGUUUAUAAGUCUUAGCAGUAAAACUAUUUCAUCUGAUGGUUUAGUUUGUAAUUUUAUAUGCUUUGUUGCAUGUUAAAACAAUACUUCUAGAAUGUGUUUAUAACAACACACUCUCAUUCUUUGUUAGUAUAAUGGUUAUGUUUCGUUUUAAA